Molecule: ribosomal RNA, 887 nt
Filed under: Chalaropsis thielavioides
Lineage: Eukaryota; Fungi; Ascomycota; Sordariomycetes; Microascales; Ceratocystidaceae
Description: partial large subunit ribosomal RNA
Rfam family: Eukaryotic large subunit ribosomal RNA
Source: RNAcentral
CAUAUCAAUAAGCGGAGGAAAAGAAACCAACAGGGAUUGCCCUAGUAACGGCGAGCGAAGCGGCAACAGCUCAAAUUUGAAAUCUGGCUACUUUGUAGUCCGAGUUGUAAUUUGUAGAGGAUGCUUUUGGUGAGGUGCCUUCCGAGUUCCCUGGAACGGGACGCCAGAGAGGGUGAGAGCCCCGUACGGUUGGAUACCAAACCUUUGUAUAGCUCCUUCAACGAGUCGAGUAGUUUGGGAAUGCUGCUCUAAAUGGGAGGUAUAUCUCUUCUAAAGCUAAAUAUAGGCUAGAGACCGAUAGCGCACAAGUAGAGUGAUCGAAAGAUGAAAAGCACUUUGAAAAGAGAGUUAAACAGCACGUGAAAUUGUUGAAAGGGAAGCGCCUAUGACCAGACUUGUUUCUUUCAGUUUUGUUAGUUCUCGGACUGAUUUACUCUGUUAGUACAGGCCAGCAUCAGUUUGUUGUCGGGGAGAAAGGCUUAGGGAAUGUGGCUCCUUCGGGAGUGUUAUAGCCCUUUGCAUAAUACCCUUCGGCAGACUGAGGACCGCGCUUCGGCAAGGAUGCUGGCGUAAUGGUCAUCAGCGACCCGUCUUGAAACACGGACCAAGGAGUCAACCUUAUGUGCGAGUGUUUGGGUGUAAAACCCCAGCGCGUAAUGAACGUGAACGUAGGUGAGAGCUUCGGCGCAUCAUCGACCGAUUCUGAUGUUCUCGGAUGGAUUUGAGUAAGAGCACACAGGGUUGGACCCGAAAGAAGGUGAACUAUGCUUGUAUAGGGUGAAGCCAGAGGAAACUCUGGUGGAGGCUCGCAGCGGUUCUGACGUGCAAAUCGAUCGUCAAAUAUGAGCAUGGGGGCGAAAGACUAAUCGAACCUUCUAGUAGCUGGU